RNAcentral lists this ribosomal RNA (592 nucleotides) under Tomentella sp. YM826. RNAcentral's name for it is "eukaryotic LSU rRNA". The stretch from base 172 to 326 matches the Rfam family "5.8S ribosomal RNA". The record is from RNAcentral. Lineage: Eukaryota; Fungi; Basidiomycota; Agaricomycetes; Thelephorales; Thelephoraceae.
CCCGUAUGGGGGCAUGUGCACGCUUUGUUUACACAUCCACUCACACCUGUGCACCCUCCGUAGUUCUAUGGCCUGGAUUGGCUCUGCCCUCCUGGUGUGGUUCUACGUCUUUACACACACACUACAAAAAAGUCUUAUGGAAUGUAUGUCGCGUUUAACGCAAUGAAAUACAACUUUCAGCAACGGAUCUCUUGGCUCUCGCAUCGAUGAAGAACGCAGCGAAAUGCGAUAAGUAAUGUGAAUUGCAGAAUUCAGUGAAUCAUCGAAUCUUUGAACGCACCUUGCGCCCUUUGGCUAUUCCGAAGGGCAUGCCUGUUUGAGUAUCAUGAACACCUCAACUCUCAUGGCUUGCCAUGAUGAGCUUGGACUUUGGGGGUCUUGUUGGCCUGUGAGCCAGCUCCUCUUAAAUGAAUUAGCUUGCCGGUGUUUGGUGGCGUCACAGGUGUGAUAACUAUCUACGCUUGUGGUUUCCCACCAGGUAACCUUCAGCAAUGGAGGUUCGCCGGAGCUUAUAAAUGUCUCUCCUCGGUGAGGACGCAUUUUGACCAUUUGAUCUCAAAUCAGGUAGGACUACCCGCUGAACUUAAGCAUA